GUAGACACGCUGCUCUUAGGAAGCAGUGCUCAAGCAUCUCGGUUCGAAUCCGAGUGGCGGCA
Molecule: transfer RNA, 62 nt
Filed under: Australopyrum retrofractum
Lineage: Eukaryota; Viridiplantae; Streptophyta; Magnoliopsida; Poales; Poaceae
Description: partial tRNA-Leu
Rfam family: tRNA
About the family: Transfer RNA (tRNA) molecules are approximately 80 nucleotides in length. Their secondary structure includes four short double-helical elements and three loops (D, anti-codon, and T loops). Further hydrogen bonds mediate the characteristic L-shaped molecular structure. tRNAs have two regions of fundamental functional importance: the anti-codon, which is responsible for specific mRNA codon recognition, and the 3' end, to which the tRNAs corresponding amino acid is attached (by aminoacyl-tRNA synthetases). tRNAs cope with the degeneracy of the genetic code in two manners: having more than one tRNA (with a specific anti-codon) for a particular amino acid; and 'wobble' base-pairing, i.e. permitting non-standard base-pairing at the 3rd anti-codon position.
Source: RNAcentral